CCCUUCAUCAUGCCGGGAGGUAAGAGGCAAGUGGGUAAAAGGGUAUAAAUCAUGAAGGUAUAAUUCAAAAAGAGAUACUUUAUCCAAAAAUGAAGAAGAGCAGUUGAAGAGAGUUUUUACAACUUUUUUUAUUGUUGAACUAUUACAGAUGUCCCCACAAGUAAAUUAUUCAGGUUGGAGUUUUAGGAGGUAUGGGCAGAAUUUGAAGAAUGGACUUUAAGCAGAAAGAACAGUUAAAAUGUUAUUGCAUGAAUAUGGGUGGGGACUGGUUAAAAUAUAGGUUUAAAGGGGAGGGGUUAAAGAUUCAGAGUUUUUGACUUAUGACAUGAGUGAAGAGUGCACACAUUCCCUCCCUCCCUCCCUCCCCCCUCCCUCUUUCUUUUCAGGGAGAUACAGUAAUAAAUGCAGCUCUGAACAUACUGAGUUUAAGCUUUGUUGGAAUAUCCAAGUGGAAAUGCUCAGCAGGCAGCUGAACAUCCACAUUAGCAAACUUAAGAAGGAAGACCUGGAUUAGGAACAUGGAUUGGGAAGCCUAGCGAAUAGAUAAUUAAAUAUAGGGAAGUAGAUGAAAUCACCAACAAAUAUAUAGAAUGAGAAAAAAGUCAACUGGCUUUUAAGAGAUAAGUAAAGGAAAAAGUAAGGGCUUCUAACUUUCCCUUAUCAGUAAAAAGAAAGGCAAUUCUAAAGGCACUAAUCACAACUUCUAAAUACCAGCCAUGUUCAAUGCAGAUUUCAAAACAGACUCAGAAAGUUUUCAACCGACACCUCUUCUGCUCCAAUUAGUUUUUCUAAGCUUUUCCUUGCUGUUUAUAUCAGAUUAUCCUUUAAUUCCAGUUGCAGCCAUUAUUUGUACCCUUUGUCUCUAUUUGUAAGCUACUGUUUUAGAACCAACUUCUUUCUGAUGACUUCACCACAAAAAGAUCAAUAUCUAUUUUAUCACUUCAUUUCCAUUAUUUUUUCCACGCUGUUUCAUCACUGGUAUGUAUUUGCAGUGGUUAGUGUCCUUUUUCAAUGCCCACGUGUAACAUUUUAGUGCACUGUAUUAACAGGCAUCUGUGGGCCAGUGUAUGUAACUGCUGUUUAUUGUUUCUUUGAGAAAGUGCAUUCUGAGUUUGUAACUGACUGUGAAGGAAUUUGGGGACAUAACUUGCUUUUUAAACUAGGAGUUUGGCUAUAUCUAAAACUUCUUCCUCUGGAUCCUAGUUUGGCCCAGUUUUUCCUCGUUUCCUAAAGUUGGACCACAUGCUCUUCUGUUAUAGGACUUUUAAAUUAUUCUAUAUUCUUGUCCCAAUAUGAUUUACUCAUAGACAAAUGAACUGGAAAACAGUCUAUGUCCCCCAAAUAAAAAUGCAUUAUUUCUAAUAAAGACAAUUUCACUUUCAUGUCAUAGAAAAACUAUUAAUAAAUUAACUCCACAAUUUAUCUAUGCACUUAACAUGUUCAAAAUGAUGCCUCAUACUAGAGCAGAGAAGAACAUUUCUACACUGGAAAAUUCACUCUUUGGGCAUUUUUAUUUUAAAACCAAACUAACAUAAUUUAAACUUCUGUCUUAGAUAAGUGGCUAAGGCUACUGACAUCUUAAUAAUGGGAGACAUUUUUAAUGAUGUGAAAACUGCCUUAAAGAAAGGACCUAAUUAAUCCUUUUCAUGACGUUUGCAUUACAUUUGUCCUUUGAUUUGAGUUGCAACUAUUAUUUGUAAUGUUCUGCCCCGGUCUCAAGCCCAUGUUUUAGAAUGAUGUUACCUUCAUCGGCUUUGCUGUAAAGGAAUCACUUCAUUUCCGAUUACUGCAUUUGCAGCAACAGUUGUUUCCUGGCUGCCCCGAGUGGUGCUGUACCACACCACUCGCUGAUGCUGCGCUCCGGUGUGCCUUUGAAGCAUUUCUUCUGCUGGCCUGGUUUGUGGCCUCCCUAUUUUAGAUCACCAGGUAGCAGCUGCUUGGCCAGCCUUCUGUCAUCUAUUUUCAAUGGUGCUAUACAGCAUCCCACAGGGCUUCGAGGAUGAUAAACUGGCUGGACUCAGGGUUUGCACUGUAAUACUGUCUUGUCAUUUAAUGUUAAGUGUACCGCACAGGUGACACUGAUGAAACUGCUUAGGAAAUCAGGUACGAUCUUUGGCAGAGCCAAAUCUCACUUUUAUAUGCAGGGUACGGUUCUGUUUCAACCAACUUAGGACAAGUACGAACACUUUCAAAAAGCUGCACCAUUUUUUAAUGUCUAAUAUAGUAUCUUUUCCAUUCAUCAGUCCAUUCUCUCAUACUUUUUGAUUCCUGAGAUACAUUUACUAGUGUGCAUUUGGGGUGGUAUCUGUAACUUCAAAUCAAAAUGAAUUUAACUGGUAUAUGCUACAAUUUAACCCACACCCUGCUCUAUCAGCAUAUAUUGUUAUUAUAUAUCAAAAUGUAUAGAUCUGACCUUUCAAAGUUAAAAAAAAAAAUCUUCCAAACAUUGUAGUCUGUCUGUCUGUCAGUGACGCUGGUUUCUGCAUGGUAUCCUAACCUGUACUGACAGGCACGGGAACUUAAAAUUCUCUGCCUUAAGACUUGCUUAUGAAACUGGAACAGAGAUCUAAAACUGCUAAAAAGAAAGCAAUAUGGUCUAUCAAUAUGUUACUUCAAUUUACAAACUAUAACACAAGUAAGAUGCCACAAAUCAUAGUUUUAAUGGUCUUAGAAUUGUGGCUUGAUUUUGGUUACUAUUUAGGCAAUACUUAUCCAUUACAUUUUGAAUAGCAUUAUAAAUAAUUGAACAAAAAAUGGCCUUGCCUUUUAUUUUAUUUAGUGAAAUCUGUAAAACUUUUUGUAAGUGCUCCCAACCUGAAGCAAACUUGUCCAGUCUGAAUUUUGUUACAUCUUACCCGUACUUCACUGGGGCAGAAUGAACGAUUACGCAGCACACGCUGUCAGCAAAGAGGAUAAAAAGACGACCAGGGCAGUGACAGCUGCCUGCCCUGCAUGUUUGAGAGUUGAUCUAUCCUUAACCGAUGGCCUCGUUUAGGUCAACAUCAACGUUAUUGCCAAAUUGACCUAUUUGGUUACCACGUCUUUCUCAUUAGUAAAUUUCCAAUAGAUAAGAGCCAUUCAUUAAGAGAUGCUGCCACAAUCAUUUAUUUUACUUUCAGAAUCUGGGCUAAGAAUCAUAACCCAAAAUUGUUACUCAAUUGGUUACUUCAGGAAAAACAAAGCAAAAUAAACUUCUAUCUUCCCAGACAUGAAGUGGUCUAUUAUUCUUUAAUAAACAGAUGACUCAAUCUUCCCAAAUCAUUUAGGUUUCAUGAGGAAUGCAUUUUCA
Phyllostomus discolor (pale spear-nosed bat) is the source of this 3289-nucleotide long non-coding RNA. RefSeq lists it as uncharacterized. The transcript is spliced from 2 exons. The record is from RefSeq and is a predicted model, not a curated record. NCBI's taxonomy places the organism in Eukaryota, Metazoa, Chordata, Mammalia, Chiroptera, Phyllostomidae.